AGUGCUGAAAAUUUUGAGAGAGAAAGAGAGAAUUUUUUUUAAUCGUGAGAGUUGGAAGAAUAAGCCAUUGAUUGGUCUUGCAAAUAACAUCAAUAUCCUCCAUCUCCAAAGACUUUAUUAUUAGUAACCUUUUUUUCCCGCAUCUUGUCUUUUUUAUUCUUUUAUGUGUUGUUGAUUUCUUAUUCUUAUAUGUUUAUAUACUCUUAAAUAUAUUGUGUUGUUUCUAAUUAUGUUAGUUGUUUGAGUCAACAUUUAUACACUUCAUAGCUACAUGUUUAGGAUGAUAACUAAUGGUAUAGAAUGAUCACAAUUUCUAAAACUCAUUGUGUUAUGUCCUGGAAAUCAAUUUCAUACCUUAAACAAUAUUAUGCGAGUAUAAUAUUGUCCGAAGAAUCAACCGAGUACGAAAAAAUAAUUAAAGCUCGGUGUUAUAUUAUGAUUUUAUUUGGUAAUUUUUUAUUUCCAGAAAGUACAGGUAAUUCAGUAAAUAUUAUGUAUUUACCGUUGUUACGCAACAUUAAUAAGGUAAGCAUAUAUAGUUGGGGUUCAGUCGUGUUGACCCAUCUAUAUAGUGCAAUGUGUAAAAAGGCAAAAAAGAAUACUUGUACAUUUUUUUUCAUGUGCGUAUUUGCUACAAGCAUGAGGUUGGUCAAGAAUGUUGUCACUCGCCCCGAUAAACGAUAACCCAUUCAUGUUCCCGUUUACAACAAAGUGGUCAGUAAGGGGGAUGAACUAUAAUAGGUGUCUGAAACACGUUAUAGUAGUCUAUCGCAAUCUAUUGGACGAGGCGAUUUUAUCUGGAGGCCAUAUGUGGGUCUUGAUCAUCAUGUGAACCAUGAUGAUGCUGCAGUUUGGACAACAAAGACACCAAUUAUCCGGUUCACUACUGUGGAAAUGCACCAGAGUGACCGGGUAAAACUACAGUUCGGCAUGCAACAACAGAUUCUAGAACCCCCGACAUGUUUGGGGAAUUGACAUCAAAAAAGAGUUGAUGCCCAAUGGGAUUAUUCCGACUAGAGAGACUUUGCAAAAGAGAUGUGUCGUCAAUGGAGGAUGCGACGACAACACAUCUUAAACGAACCAGUCAUCCAUGGUGCAAGACCAACUCAACAAUAUAUGGCAUGGUUUAGGUCGAUAACAAUGCAAUAAUUUGUGUAUGACCCACGGUAUUUGAUAGAUCCAUGCCAACUAGCUUCGUCAUCGUAUGCUCAACAACAAGUUCCCGUCCAACACCAAUAUCAAACCAUCCAAACCCAAGAACCAACCUCACACCGUCAACCUAUCACAUACACCCAACAACUAAACACCCAACUUUACAAUCCAUUCAUGCCAUCCACCCAACAACUAAACACCCAACGUCACAAUCGAUUCAUGCCACCCACCCAACCACAAAAUCAAGAAUUAAACCCUACCCACCAACAACCAUACGCUUCAACCACAACCGUCUAUAACCUAGAUGAUUCAUAUGAGUCACUUCAUCGUUGCCCCCCACCAAUGACCACUCAAACAUCUCAUCACCAAAACGCACAACCAUUAUUUAACUAUAGUACGCCCCAGGAGCCAUUGCUUCAUUUUCAAAACGAUUCAAUGUUCCAAUUUAGGCAACAAUCCACAAUCCACCCCAACCUCAUCGACCUAACUACGAUGACAUGGACACCGAACUCCAUUACGGAAGCGUCGUUGGCCAGAGCCCCUCCGGAUAUUGGGAACAAAUGAUGACACAUCUGUCAAAUACAGCUGGAACUUCCGUCGGACCUUCACACCAGCCAUCAUUCGAUCAGGUCAGCACACAAAGACCCCAAACACCUCAGGAAAAUCGUGAGAGACCUCAGAGACAAACAAACACACCUAGAUGUGGAACAGGGGGACGUUUCGAUCGGGCCGGUCAUUAAA
This is a long non-coding RNA of Lathyrus oleraceus (garden pea), 1893 nucleotides long. RefSeq lists it as uncharacterized. The record is from RefSeq and is a predicted model, not a curated record. NCBI's taxonomy places the organism in Eukaryota, Viridiplantae, Streptophyta, Magnoliopsida, Fabales, Fabaceae. The transcript is spliced from 3 exons.